Molecule: ribosomal RNA, 253 nt
Filed under: uncultured bacterium
Lineage: Bacteria
Description: partial 16S ribosomal RNA
Rfam family: Bacterial small subunit ribosomal RNA
Source: RNAcentral
UACGUAGGGGGCGAGCGUUGUCCGGAUUUAUUGGGCGUAAAGAGCGUGUAGGCGGCCAGGUAGGUCUGCUGUGAAAACUCGAGGCUCAACCUCGAGACGUCGGCGGAAACCAUCUGGCUAGAGUCCGGAAGAGGAGAGUGGAAUUCCUGGUGUAGCGGUGAAAUGCGCAGAUAUCAGGAAGAACACCCGUGGCGAAGGCGGCUCGCUGGGACGUUACUGACACUGAGGCGCGAAAGCGUGGGGAGCGAACAGG